CUACCCUUGACAUGUACGGAAUCCUGCUGAGAGGUGGGGGUGCCCGAAAGGGAGCCGUAACACAGGUGCUGCAUGGCUGUCGUCAGCUCGUGUCGUGAGAUGUUGGGUUAAGUCCCGCAACGAGCGCAACCCUUGUUCUGUGUUGCCAGCAUGCCCUUCGGGGUGAUGGGGACUCACAGGAGACUGCCGGGGUCAACUCGGAGGAAGGUGGGGACGACGUCAAGUCAUCAUGCCCCUUAUGUCUUGGGCUGCACACGUGCUACAAUGGCAGGUACAAUGAGCUGCGAAGCCGCGAGGCGGAGCGAAUCUCAAAAAGCCUGUCUCAGUUCGGAUUGGGGUCUGCAACUCGACCCCAUGAAGUCGGAGUUGCUAGUAAUCGCAGAUCAGCAUUGCUGCGGUGAAUA
This 404-nucleotide ribosomal RNA is filed under the name uncultured soil bacterium. RNAcentral's name for it is "bacterial SSU rRNA". It matches the Rfam family "Bacterial small subunit ribosomal RNA", at positions 975 to 1368 of the family's 1533-position model. The record is from RNAcentral.